UGACGUCUGGACCCAGGCCCUGACCUGGU
RNAcentral lists this non-coding RNA (29 nucleotides) under Bombyx mori (domestic silkworm). The record is from RNAcentral. Lineage: Eukaryota; Metazoa; Arthropoda; Insecta; Lepidoptera; Bombycidae.